This 301-nucleotide ribosomal RNA is filed under the name uncultured bacterium. RNAcentral's name for it is "partial 16S ribosomal RNA". It matches the Rfam family "Bacterial small subunit ribosomal RNA", at positions 509 to 809 of the family's 1533-position model. The record is from RNAcentral.
CAGUAGCCGCGGUAAUACGAAGGGUGCAAGCGUUAAUCGGAAUUACUGGGCGUAAAGCGUGCGUAGGCGGUGAGUUAAGUCUGCUGUGAAAUCCCCGGGCUCAACCUGGGAAUGGCAGUGGAUACUGGCUCGCUAGAGUGUGUCAGAGGAUGGUGGAAUUCCCGGUGUAGCGGUGAAAUGCGUAGAGAUCGGGAGGAACAUCAGUGGCGAAGGCGGCCAUCUGGGACAACACUGACGCUGAGGCACGAGAGCGUGGGGAGCAAACAGGAUUAGAUACCCCAGUAGUCCCUGUCUCUUAUAA